Molecule: unclassified non-coding RNA, 298 nt
Filed under: Hevea brasiliensis (rubber tree)
Lineage: Eukaryota; Viridiplantae; Streptophyta; Magnoliopsida; Malpighiales; Euphorbiaceae
Source: RNAcentral
GGAAGAGAAAUCAGGUUCCGAGUGAAAUCAUAUAUACAAAAAUCUAAUUGGGUGUAUGAUUAUCCUCCUUUCCUUCAAUUUGCUUCCAACCAUACCUUAUGUUUCUCUCUUGAUGCAGUGGCUUUCUUACUAACAAGUCCCAACUAAGUGAGCCAUGGAGUAUAAGUAUAUACCCUGCCCCUGCUCCAGUGAAUGGAAGAUAGGGAUUCUACACCGAAACAGUAAAUUCCUGCUCCACCUCCGUCCAUGGAGCCCAGUUCCACUUCCAGUCUUUCAUGACUGAGGUUCUGGCAUUCUA